AAUGAACGCUGGCGGCGUGCUUAACACAUGCAAGUCGAACGAGAAAGGGAUUGCUUGCAAUCCUGAGUAGAGUGGCGCACGGGUGAGUAACACGUAGAUAAUCUACCUCCAAGCCCGGGAUAACUAUUCGAAAGGGUAGCUAAUACCGAAUAAAGUUGAUUGACACAAGUUGAUUAAUGAAAGAUUGCCUCUUCUUGAAAGCAAUUGUUUGGAGAUGAGUUUGCGGACCAUUAGUUUGUUGGUGGGGUAAAGGCCUACCAAGACUACGAUGGUUAGCUGGUCUGAGAGGAUGAUCAGCCACACUGGAACUGGUACACGGUCCAG
Molecule: ribosomal RNA, 324 nt
Filed under: uncultured Desulfobacter sp.
Lineage: Bacteria; Pseudomonadati; Thermodesulfobacteriota; Desulfobacteria; Desulfobacterales; Desulfobacteraceae
Description: bacterial SSU rRNA
Rfam family: Bacterial small subunit ribosomal RNA
Source: RNAcentral